ACGGAAGGCAGCAGUGGGGAAUAUUGGUCAAUGGGCGGAAGCCUGAACCAGCCAAGUCGCGUGAAGGAAGACGGUAUUAUGUAUUGUAAACUUCUUUAGCAGUAGAGCAAUAAGCGCCACGUGUGGCGUGAUGAGAGUAUACUGAGAAUAAGCAUCGGCUAACUCCGUGCCAGCAGCCGCGGUAAUACGGAGGAUGCGAGCGUUAUCCGGAUUUAUUGGGUUUAAAGGGUGCGCAGGCGGUCAGUUAAGUCAGUGUUCAAAUCGUGAGGCUCAACCUCAUCCCGCCAUUGAUACUGGUUGACUUGAGUGCGGUCGAGGUAGGCGGAAUUCGUCGUGUAGCGGUGAAAUGCAUAGAUAUGACGAAGAACACCGAUUGCGUAGGCAGCUUACCAGGCCGUUAAUGACGCUCAUGCACGAAAGUGCGGGGAUCGAACAGGAUUAGAUACCCUGGUA
RNAcentral lists this ribosomal RNA (453 nucleotides) under uncultured Porphyromonadaceae bacterium. Its description in RNAcentral is "partial 16S ribosomal RNA". It matches the Rfam family "Bacterial small subunit ribosomal RNA", at positions 341 to 792 of the family's 1533-position model. The record is from RNAcentral. Lineage: Bacteria; Pseudomonadati; Bacteroidota; Bacteroidia; Bacteroidales; Porphyromonadaceae.